RNAcentral lists this long non-coding RNA (872 nucleotides) under Homo sapiens (human). RNAcentral describes it as "novel transcript, antisense to AZGP1". Lineage: Eukaryota; Metazoa; Chordata; Mammalia; Primates; Hominidae. The record is from RNAcentral.
GGGUCUCCAGCCUGCUGGCCGGCUCUGAAGAUUUAGGACUUGUUACUCCUCCCAAUAGUCCUGCAGAUGCCUCCAAGGAGUCCGAAAACAAAUCCGAAGUCAACGACAAGCAAUGAUGGCGAUGGCGAUCCUAGUUAAUAAAAAGGGGGGAGAUGUGGGCGGCAAGCCAUCCAGGUGCCAAGCCAAGAGACCGAGGGCAUGAGUUGUUCCAGUAUAAUAAAAUAUAUAAAACAACAAGAGUUAUACUAGAUCUAGAUCAUAGAUAUGAUUAUAUAUCAAUAUCAUUAAUCAUUAGUUUUUUCCAAAUUUAUUAUUCCAAUAUUAUAAUAUUAUAAUAAUCCUCCAAUAUUAUAAUUUAUUCCAAUAUUAUAAUAAUCUUCGCUGCAUAAUCAUAACCUAAGAAAAACCAGGCCAUACAGAGAUAGGAGCUGAGGGGACAUAGUGAGAAGUGACCAGAAGACAAGAGUGCGAGCCUUCUGUUAUGCCCAGACAGGGCCACCAGAAGGGCUCCUUGGUCUAGCAGUAACGCCAGUGUCUGGGAAGACGCCCCUUGCCGAGCGGACGGUGGUCUAGCGGUAGCCUCAGUGUCAAGGAAAACACCCGCUACUUAGCUGACCGGGAAAGGGAGUCUCCCUUUCCUUGGGGGAGUUUAGAGAAGACUCUACUCCUCCACCUCUUGUGGAGGGCCUGACAUCAGUCAGGCCCGCCCGCAGUUAUCCAGAGGCCUAACCGUCUCCCUGUGAUGCUGUGCUUCAGUGGUCACGCUCCUAGUCCGCCUUCAUGUUCCAUCCUGUACACCUGGCUCUGCCUUUUAGAUAACAAUAGCAAAUUAGUGAAAGUACUAAGUCUCUGAUAAGCAGAAAUAAUGGCAU